Molecule: long non-coding RNA, 453 nt
Organism: Brassica napus (rape)
Lineage: Eukaryota; Viridiplantae; Streptophyta; Magnoliopsida; Brassicales; Brassicaceae
Exons: 2
Source: RefSeq, a predicted model, not a curated record
CGGCAAUUGGAUCAAGAAGAAACAUAGGCACUCCAGAAAUGCAUGAAACUAUAUGUAUGUUACUUACGGGUUUUGAUUUUGGAGUUCUUCGCAUUGGAGCAUCAGAAUUGGUCAAUUCUCUUUCAGCAUGUAUGGUCAUGAAGACGGAUUGCCGUAUCGGAUCAGAGAAUUAAAAGUACCGACAUGUUGGUAUUUCGAAUAAGAACUAUAUUAACACAAUCUGGCCUGGGUUGCGUAGAACUCUUAAAAAUACAUAUCCAUGUAUAGCAUAAAGCUGAGAGCUUAACUUUUUGAAUGUCAUCGAUUGUGCUCCUCAAGCUAAGAUUUCUCAUCAAUUUAUCUCAGUUCCAUAUAAUUUAUUUACUUUUUACUCUAAGACAGAACAGGCUUCGGUUCUGUUUGAUUGGCUGUUGCAUGUGUAGUGGUUGUGAUGAAUGGUUUAGAUUUGAGUGA